UGCAACGAAAAAGACCGGACGAUACCCCUG
RNAcentral lists this small RNA (30 nucleotides) under Bombyx mori (domestic silkworm). RNAcentral describes it as "ovarian small RNA-33323". Lineage: Eukaryota; Metazoa; Arthropoda; Insecta; Lepidoptera; Bombycidae. The record is from RNAcentral.